Pangasianodon gigas (Mekong giant catfish) is the source of this 71-nucleotide non-coding RNA. The record is from the annotation of a GenBank genome assembly. NCBI's taxonomy places the organism in Eukaryota, Metazoa, Chordata, Actinopteri, Siluriformes, Pangasiidae.
UCCCUGUGGACUAGUGGCUAGCAUACGGCACUCUCAUCGCCACGGUCCGGGUUCGAUUCCCAGUCAGGGAA